This 323-nucleotide ribosomal RNA is filed under the name Clostridium botulinum C/D str. BKT2873. Its description in RNAcentral is "bacterial SSU rRNA". It matches the Rfam family "Bacterial small subunit ribosomal RNA", at positions 1 to 319 of the family's 1533-position model. Lineage: Bacteria; Bacillati; Bacillota; Clostridia; Eubacteriales; Clostridiaceae. The record is from RNAcentral.
UUUAAAUUGAGAGUUUGAUCCUGGCUCAGGACGAACGCUGGCGGCGUGCCUAACACAUGCAAGUCGAGCGAUGAAACUUUCUUCGGGAAGUGGAUUAGCGGCGGACGGGUGAGUAACACGUGGGUAACCUGCCUCAAAGAGUGGGAUAGCCUCCCGAAAGGGAGAUUAAUACCGCAUAACAUUAUUUUAUGGCAUCAUAAAAUAAUCAAAGGAGCAAUCCGCUUUGAGAUGGACCCGCGGCGCAUUAGCUAGUUGGUGAGGUAACGGCUCACCAAGGCAACGAUGCGUAGCCGACCUGAGAGGGUGAUCGGCCACAUUGGAAC